CAAAGGCUUGGUCCUGACUUUUCUAUCAACUCUAGCUAGAUUUACACAUGCAAGUAUCCGCCCACCCGUGAGAAUGCCCUACAGUUUCCUGCCCGGAAACAAGGAGCCGGUAUCAGGCACACUAAACCCAGUUAGCCCAUGACGCCUUGCUUAGCCACACCCCCAAGGGAACUCAGCAGUGAUAAACAUUAAGCCAUGAGUGAAAACUUGACUUAGUUAAAGCUAAGAGGGCCGGUAAAACUCGUGCCAGCCACCGCGGUUAUACGAGAGGCUCAAGUUGAUAGCCCCCGGCGUAAAGAGUGGUUAAGAAAAUUCUUAAACUAAAGCCGAACACUCUCAAAACUGUUAUACGUACCCGAGAGCAAGAAGUCCCCCCACGAAAGUGGCUUUAAUCAUUCUGAACCCACGAAAGCUGGGAAACAAACUGGGAUUAGAUACCCCACUAUGCCCAGCCCUAAACUUUGAUAGGAUAAUUACACCCCCUAUCCGCCCGGGAACUACGAGCACUAGCUUAAAACCCAAAGGACUUGGCGGUGCUUUAGAUCCCCCUAGAGGAGCCUGUUCUAGAACCGAUAACCCCCGUUAAACCUCACCCUCUCUUGUUCCUCCCGCCUAUAUACCGCCGUCGUCAGCUUACCCUGUGAAGGUUUUAUAGUAAGCAAAACCAGUAAAACUCAAAACGUCAGGUCGAGGUGUAGCAUAUGAGAGGGGAAGAAAUGGGCUACAUUUUCUACCUCAGAAUAUACGGACAAUGCAAUGAAAAAGCGUUAGAAGGAGGAUUUAGUAGUAAGCAAGAAAUAGAGCGUCUUGCUGAAACCGGCCCUGAAGCGCGCACACACCGCCCGUCACUCUCCCCAAGCCAUUUUUUUCCCGUAAAUAAAAAACAAACUACGCAAAGGGGAGGCAAGUCGUAACAUGGUAAGUGUACCGGAAGGUGCACUUGGACAAAC
RNAcentral lists this non-coding RNA (950 nucleotides) under Atherinomorus stipes (hardhead silverside). RNAcentral's name for it is "12S ribosomal RNA". It matches the Rfam family "Bacterial small subunit ribosomal RNA". Lineage: Eukaryota; Metazoa; Chordata; Actinopteri; Atheriniformes; Atherinidae. The record is from RNAcentral.